Molecule: ribosomal RNA, 528 nt
Filed under: Triticum aestivum (bread wheat)
Lineage: Eukaryota; Viridiplantae; Streptophyta; Magnoliopsida; Poales; Poaceae
Description: partial small subunit ribosomal RNA
Source: RNAcentral
AUGUCUAGGACUAUGGCUCCGAAAAACUCAGCUGUAUUCCUCCUUGGGCUUCUUCUCUCAUGCGUAGCCAUGAGUAGUGCGGCGAGAAUCCUUGAGGAGGCCGUUCCAUCCAAGGAGGAGCACCAGCCCGAGGGGCCACAAAUUCCGAAGGUUGAGCUGCCACCGUUCCCGGAAGUGCAUCUGCCACCUAAGCCCGAGCUUCCCAAGGUGAAGCUGCCGCCGGUCCCGGAGGUGCACCUGCCACCUAAGCCUGAGCUUCCCAAGGUGGAGCUGCCGCCGGUCCCUGAGGUGCACCUGCCACCUAAGCCCGAGCUUCCCAAGGUGGAGCUACCGCUGGUCCCGGAGGUUCACCUGCCACCCAAGCCGGAGCUGCCCAAGGUGGAGCUGCCAACGUUUCCGGAGGUUCACCUGCCACCCAAGCCGAAGCUGCCCAAGGUGGACCUGCCACCGAAGCCCGAGAUGCCCGCUGUUCCCGUGUUCCACUUCCCAAAGACGGAGGCCAAGCCGCGAGAAUUGCCUUCUCGAUAA